AUCAAUCUGAAGUAUUUUAUCACUUUAAAUAUUUGUGAUAAAGGCCACAAAACGUAAAAUAGAAAAAUAGAAUGCAGUGAUAGAAAUUUAAUUUCGCAUUUGGAUUGACAUGAAACACGAUUUUCCGGAAUGUUUUUAAACAAUAAUGGAAGCCUGCGAUUAUCCACUAAUUGUUUUACACAAAAACCAUAGAAAUAGCAUACUAUAGUAAAGCAACGCGACCAUGAAUAUUUUUAAACAAUAAGUGAGGGUGACUCAUCUAAAUCAGUGGAAGCCUUUUUUAACUAUUCUGGUGAUAUAAACGUCAUAUUAUAUACAUAAUACAUGAGUUUUUAGUAAACACUAUUUAUCCUUUUAUAAUUGUAUACAUACUUUCGUAGGACCUUUCUAGUUUAUUUGUAGUUUAAGAUUUUUGAAUUUGGAUCUCACUGGCAAUAAAAAAACAAUGUUUUCUAUUCACAAUAAAUGAUUAUGUGUGGUUGACAAGUAGCUCCGGGUAUCUGAAAACUAAUGAAUUUAAUAUAUUAACCGUUAUCGGGGUUGUUUUUAGCAUACAAAAAUGUUUUCAAAAAGGGGGCCAUAUCCGCUAAAUGGGGUGCAUAUCUACUAGGAGGUUUGACCCGCUGUGACAAGUUCGCUAGGUGUCACGCGUGUCAAAAUAUCCUGUGACGUGCGCAUAUUUUUCUUAGAGUUGAGCGGGCAACGAAUACUUUGUACUCGCAGAUUGCAAGCACAUAUCAAAUCAAAGUA
Molecule: non-coding RNA, 750 nt
Organism: Paramuricea clavata
Lineage: Eukaryota; Metazoa; Cnidaria; Anthozoa; Malacalcyonacea; Plexauridae
Source: the annotation of a GenBank genome assembly